Long non-coding RNA from Boleophthalmus pectinirostris (great blue-spotted mudskipper), 2179 nucleotides. RefSeq lists it as uncharacterized. The transcript has 5 exons. The record is from RefSeq and is a predicted model, not a curated record. NCBI's taxonomy places the organism in Eukaryota, Metazoa, Chordata, Actinopteri, Gobiiformes, Gobiidae.
AGCAACGUUCCAUCUUAGUUCUUACGUUAAGUCAGUUUGUGUCGGACGUGUCAGAACUUCAGCUACUUUUUCUAGCAUUUUCAACUGUUUUUCAGUUUUAUUUCUAUCAGAAUUUACAUUUUUUAUCUUUCUUCGAUCAGUUUUCUUUUGUUUUGCUUUUUGAAACUACAAUUUUUGAACGAAGAAAACUUGCACAGUCACUCCCUUGGACUCUGGACAUUUUUUUUGGAACUUUUUGGACAGUGAUGUGUCGGAAAACGAUGGAUUUCAAGCCUAAACACCACUUAAAAUCCGAUUGUGUGCGCAGAAUUAUCCACCCUAGGCUCAGUUUGAGACUCCUCCGUGUUACAGUGGACCAAGACACGGGCCUGAGCCAUUGGAGAAGCAACAUCGUGAAAUCUACGAUCAGAAAAUGCAUCCACAAAGAGAGAAAACGAGUCCAAUUGGCUAGAAUGGCUAAAACUACCGAAGAAAGCGGUAAAAUUGACGAAAUUCACGAAGAAACCAACGCUACGGCCUCGGACGCAGCAGCGACCCCCACUCGGAGCAAUGGCGCCCGAGAACACGACGCAAUACCUCAUGAGCAAAGUUUACGAAGAUCUGCCGCAAGAUGAGCACGUUUUGAGUUUUGCCGCAGUUUUGCCGCAAAGUGAGGAGCUGGGAUUGUGGCAGAACGCAAACACGACGCCGGAAAGGAGCUACGACGCGUGUCUUUCGUUCCAGCAGCGAGACUUUGACGAGCUGUACGGUGCGCUCUGGUAAAAACCUGUGCGUAAAACCUGUGCGUAACCAGCGUAUCCGCUUGAAACUGGAAACUGGUGACUGCUCCGGCCACUUGUGGGAACAUUCUGUUGAAAAUGAAAGCGUCCCAUCCUCUAGGGGGCGCCACUGAGCCUCGCCUCACCCCCGUCUGCCCAGAGGAGACAAAAGUGCGCCCCUCGGACAUGGCCUGUCUGUGAGAACGCAGGUAAACCCGGUAAAUUGCGUUUAAAAAAAAAAAAAAAAAAGACGAGAUGGUGGUAAGAUUACUGUGUUGAUACAGUAAAAGUGCUUUCCGCUGUCACUCUUGUCUUGAGCAUUUUCCAGGUUCACGUCGCCAUGACAACCCGGGACGCACGGACGCACACCGGAUGUGAGUUGUCUCGUGGCUGAUCAAAGGUGACUCUUGUGUACCAUGGUAACACGACCGAAAUACGAGCACAUGACAUAGCUGUAAUGUUUAUUGUAAAACUAUUUACUAUGUACAUAUUAAAUAUAAAUAUAUACAAUGUUAUGUUGAAAUGAGUUGUGGGGAAGGGAUUUUAAUAAAGGCGCUUUUGUGAAAUUUAAUAAUUGUCAUUUUUAUGUUGUAUUUUUUUUAGACCAACACCAUACCGCAGUAACUAAAUCAUGAGUAUCUAAGGGGUCUCCAACCUUUUUUCACUUGUCACACGGCACCAUUUUAGGGACCUCCUCCUCCUCCAACGGCGACGACGACGAGACCAGGCAGGACACCACCAGACCAGCUAUGACCGAGCACUUUCAGACCUCACAGUGACAGCCAAUCACGAAGACGGGCCUCCGGAGGGCGCCGCCAGAACGGUUCAUAAUAAAGCCCAGAUCGAUGCAGGGGAGCAGGUUUGGACAGGAGGUAGCUACGACGAAGAAAGAUCGAUGAGAUGUGGUGACAGCGAUCGUAUUAAGAUGCUCCUCCACCACUCACCUGCUGCUCUCUGUGUGUGGCACUGAUUCAAAGAGUGAAGAAAAAUAAAAAACACACUUGUCUAUAGGUCCGGUUGAGCUUAAAAGUGCACUGUGUAACUUUUCUGGAGUGUUUGUCACCAUGGAAAUGUUAAGGCUUUGGUUUAAAUUGUCCACAGUAUGGCAUUAAACUAAUCUGUCUUGCUUUUAUUCAACUACAGGUGUUAUUUAUUGCUCAAAACUAUCUUAAACAACAUUGAUUUUUACUGUGAGUGGGGUCGCCUUUGGUUUGCAAGUCUCCAUAGAGAUUCUUAAGUUUAUGGCCAUAUUGUGGAACAUUUUAGGCUCAUCUCCAUGGUGACAAGCAGGUGAUGGACACUCCAGCAGAAAAGUUACACAGUGUAAUGAUGCCUUUAAAGGUCCUAUAUUAACCAAAAUUGACUCUUGUGAGUUUUAAGUCAUGUUAUAAUGGUGUUGUGUCAUUAAAAACAAACUAGAG